CCGAAGGCUGGUCUCACAACAAUGCCCAGUGACUGCCAUGAUUUGGCGGCUUUCUAGGCCCGCCUUGGAUAGAUGAUGGACAGUGAUUUGUGUAUGGAGGAAGCCCCACCUAAGAUGACGAAAUUCAUCAAGAAACUUUGUUCAAGGUUCAUGACACCAGCAGCUCUACGAGAAGUUCAUGAGUCCACUUACUAGGACCCAUUGCACCAACUGCCAGAUGGAUGCUUCGCAUUUGCUCUGCAUGUCCACCUGGGAACUUUCCGU
This is a long non-coding RNA of Alosa alosa (allis shad), 264 nucleotides long. RefSeq lists it as uncharacterized. The record is from RefSeq and is a predicted model, not a curated record. The transcript is spliced from 3 exons. Lineage: Eukaryota; Metazoa; Chordata; Actinopteri; Clupeiformes; Clupeidae.